UGGGGGAUAUUGCACAAUGGGCGAAAGCCUGAUGCAGCGACGCCGCGUGGGGGAUGAAGGCUUUCGGGUUGUAAACCUCUUUCGCUAUCGAACAAGGCCCGCUUAGGUGGGUUGAGGGUAGGUGGAGAAGAAGCGCCGGCUAACUACGUGCCAGCAGCCGCGGUAAUACGUAGGGCGCGAGCGUUGUCCGGAAUUAUUGGGCGUAAAGGGCUUGUAGGCGGCUUGUUGCGCCUGCUGUGAAAACGCGGGGCUUAACUUCGCGCGUGCAGUGGGUACGGGCAGGCUUGAGUGUGGUAGGGGUGACUGGAAUUCCAGGUGUAGCGGUGGAAUGCGCAGAUAUCUGGAGGAACACCGAUGGCGAAGGCAGGUCACUGGGCCAUUACUGACGCUGAGGAGCGAAAGCAUGGGUAGCGAACAGG
This 419-nucleotide ribosomal RNA is filed under the name bacterium. Its description in RNAcentral is "partial 16S ribosomal RNA". It matches the Rfam family "Bacterial small subunit ribosomal RNA", at positions 355 to 776 of the family's 1533-position model. The record is from RNAcentral.